Molecule: long non-coding RNA, 612 nt
Filed under: Brassica rapa (field mustard)
Lineage: Eukaryota; Viridiplantae; Streptophyta; Magnoliopsida; Brassicales; Brassicaceae
Description: long non-coding RNA (BRAP_LNC000891)
Source: RNAcentral
GUCUCUGGUGCACUAAAGCAAAGACCAAAGCCUCUAUGCAACAUAGACCAAAAAGAUGCUGAUCUAACUGACUGUACACUAUAUCUAAAGGAAGAGCUGUCACUUGCCACUGUCUCACCAAGAAGAUUAAAAUGUAGAUGAAAAUUUGAAAUCCACCUUCAAAACCCUGAGAGUCGACUCCUAAUCAUGAUGACAGCAGAAAACCGAAACAAACAUCGGAUCCAACCGUGGUUCCUUUGUUAGUGAUACUUCUUAAGUAACCAACAUAUCAUAAGGAAAAGUAAAAAAAAAAGGAGCAAAAGAAGAAAAAAGGGGAAAACAUAAAGAAACUUUUUGGUGGCGAUGUUUCUACACGCACACACCAAAUGCGUAGUUGGUGAAAACUGUUAAUCGGUGUGAGAAAAUAGAAAAAAGAUAAAAAAAAUUAAUUAUAUUUUUAUUGUUAAAAAUCAAUAAUUAUUUUCACUUGAAGGUAAAUAAAAGGAAUUAUGUCUAAAGAAAAUCAUCUAUUAAAUCAUAUUGGUAUCAAUGUUUAUAUAUUUUUAUAAGAUCCAAUCAAAGAUCAAUGUAAAGAAAGAAGAUCCAGAAGUUGUCAUCUUCACUGAGGUCAGA